This is a long non-coding RNA of Astatotilapia calliptera (eastern happy), 1125 nucleotides long. NCBI's taxonomy places the organism in Eukaryota, Metazoa, Chordata, Actinopteri, Cichliformes, Cichlidae. The record is from Ensembl.
GCUGAUUUAAAUGGCUAAAUUAGCUCCUCAACAUGUCCUGAAGUUCUCCAGAGGCCUGUUAACGAACUAAUCAUGUGAUUCAGGUGUGUUGACCCAAGGUGAGAUCUAAAACUUGCAGGGACACCGGCCCUCGUGGACUGAGAUUGCCCACCCCUGGUCUAGGGUUUCGGUGUUUGGCAGUUUUAGAAAGGCAAUACCAAUCGAGUCCCACAGUCUGAGCCAGCUGCUUUUUGACUGCUCAAUCUGAUAGGCUUGACUGAUAGCAAGUUUCCAGUGAACACACACACACACACAGGCUAACACUAGGGGUGAGCACAUGCAUGCACACACGGCGAUGUACUGUCCUGUCACACACAACUGCCCUCUGGGAAGCAAAAUGAAAAUAAGCAUUGUAAUCCACCACCACCACCUCAUCGUUCUCUCACACACAUACAGACAUGCGCAAAUACCAGAGAGCAAACAACAUCUGCAGCAUCUGGCCACUCAAAGCUUUGAUCUGGGGUCACAUCCGAGCCAUUCUGAAAAAAAAAAUGUGACAGUCAUCUGCCUUCACUCGUGUAUUGUUUGUUCUCCAAAACAAACCUCACAAGGAGCAUGGGCUUUUUGAAAAAAAAAAAACACCAAAAAAACAAGUUGUACAAAGUCAGCACUUGCUGUACAUGUUGUUGCAACUUCAUAGUGUACACGCAUGCACCUCUUUCCUCCUCACUCGCUCUGUCUUAUUUACACGGCACUCCGCUUUUUUUUCUUUGCGGUCUAAGUUUAUGUCCAUCUCCUAUUUUAAAGUUUUUAUGUGUGUGUGUGUGUGCGUGCAUACCUCUGUGCAAGAGAGUGUAUCUCUAUGUUGGGCAUCUGGUGGCUAUCAGAGUUAAUCACCCAAGCUUCCUACGACUGGCUGUGUCACACAAACUGACUUGAACACACACAAUGAGACACACACAACUUUUAUUGGAACAUGACAGCGCAUUAGACGGUGUUGGAAAGAAAUACUGACAGCCUAGCCGUGGCCAAAAUGGAGGGGGGGAUGGGACAAGAAAGGGAAGAAUGAAGGAUAGGCAGAGGGAGGGAAUGAAGGUGGAGAAGCAGGAAGAAAGGUUCCAGGAUGUGUGAAACGGGCUAUCGCAC